Molecule: unclassified non-coding RNA, 18 nt
Filed under: Mus musculus (house mouse)
Lineage: Eukaryota; Metazoa; Chordata; Mammalia; Rodentia; Muridae
Description: oocyte_clustered_small_RNA12938
Source: RNAcentral
CUGAAUCAGUUGUGGGGU